UACGGAAGAUGCGAGCGUUAUCCGGAUUUAUUGGGUUUAAAGGGUGCGCAGGCGGAUUUUUAAGUCAGCGGUCAAAUCGUGGGGCUCAACCCCAUCCAGCCGUUGAAACUGGGGAUCUAGAGUGUGCGAGAGGUAUGCGGAAUGCGUGGUGUAGCGGUGAAAUGCAUAGAUAUCACGCAGAACCCCGAUUGCGAAGGCAGCAUACCGGUGCACAACUGACGCUCAGGCACGAAAGCGUGGGUAUCGAACAGG
RNAcentral lists this ribosomal RNA (252 nucleotides) under uncultured bacterium. RNAcentral describes it as "partial 16S ribosomal RNA". It matches the Rfam family "Bacterial small subunit ribosomal RNA", at positions 524 to 776 of the family's 1533-position model. The record is from RNAcentral.